Long non-coding RNA from Alligator sinensis (Chinese alligator), 371 nucleotides. RefSeq lists it as uncharacterized. The transcript is spliced from 3 exons. NCBI's taxonomy places the organism in Eukaryota, Metazoa, Chordata, Crocodylia, Alligatoridae. The record is from RefSeq and is a predicted model, not a curated record.
CUGACAGAAACACACACACGUUUGUCUGUCUCCACGGUGACUCUUCCUGUUGUGGUUCCUACAAGAUUAAGAAAAAACACAACACAAGCUGGGAAUCCCUGUUAAGAGAUCUGGCAGAACAGAGAAAAAGACAGUGAAGCAGAACUUGGUUUAAAAAGUUCACUACCAAAAAGAAAUCUCCUUCAAGAUGUCCGGGUUCUAGAGCAAAGCCAGAUCUCAAUCUUGAACUCCUUCAUGAAACAAAACUUCCAUCCUCUGCACAGCUCUGCUUUAUCAUCCAUGGACUCCACUAACUUCACUUUUAAAAGGGGAUCGACAGCAGAUCUCAACCUUUUUUGCCUUGAGGCGCCCCUCAAUAGACAAGACACCCC